CGCGUCGACGGGUAGCCGGCCUGAGAGGGCGACCGGCCACACUGGGACUGAGACACGGCCCAGACUCCUACGGGAGGCAGCAGUGGGGAAUAUUGCACAAUGGGCGCAAGCCUGAUGCAGCGACGCCGCGUGAGGGAUGACGGCCUUCGGGUUGUAAACCUCUUUCAGCAGGGAAGAAGCGAAAGUGACGGUACCUGCAGAAGAAGCGCCGGCUAACUACGUGCCAGCAGCCGCGGUAAUACGUAGGGCGCGAGCGUUGUCCGGAAUUAUUGGGCGUAAAGAGCUCGUAGGCGGCUUGUCACGUCGGUUGUGAAAGCCCGGGGCUUAACCCCGGGUCUGCAGUCGAUACGGGCAGGCUAGAGUUCGGUAGGGGAGAUCGGAAUUCCUGGUGUAGCGGUGAAAUGCGCAGAUAUCAGGAGGAACACCGGUGGCGAAGGCGGAUCUCUGGGCCGAUACUGACGCUGAGGAGCGAAAGCGUGGGGAGCGAACAGGAUUAGAUACCCUGGUAGUCCACGCCGUAAACGGUGGGCACUAGGUGUGGGCAACAUUCCACGUUGUCCGUGCCGCAGCUAACGCAUUAAGUGCCCCGCCUGGGGAGUA
This 600-nucleotide ribosomal RNA is filed under the name Streptomyces coeruleorubidus. RNAcentral's name for it is "bacterial SSU rRNA". It matches the Rfam family "Bacterial small subunit ribosomal RNA", at positions 272 to 882 of the family's 1533-position model. The record is from RNAcentral. Lineage: Bacteria; Bacillati; Actinomycetota; Actinomycetes; Kitasatosporales; Streptomycetaceae.